ACCCAACAACCACAUCCCUCCUCAGAAGAAGCCCCCAGAGCACAGCUCCUCACCAUGGACUGGACCUGGAGGAUCCUCUUUUUGGUGGCAGCAGCCACAGGUGCCCACUCCCAGGUCCAACUGGUGUAGUCUGGAGCUGAGGUGAAGAAGCCUGGGGCCUCAGUGAAGGUCUCCUGCAAGGCUUCUGGAUACACCUUCACCGACUACUUUAUGAACUGGAUGCGCCAGGCCCCUGGACAAAGGCUUGAGUGGAUGGGAUGGAUCAACGCUGGCAAUGGUAACACAAAAUAUUCACAGAAGCUCCAGGGCAGAGUCACCAUUACCAGGGACACAUCUUCGAGCACAGCCUACAUGCAGCUGAGCAGCCUGAGAUCUGAGGACACGGCCGUGUAUUACUGUGCGAGAGACACAGAGUGAAAACCCACAUCCUGAGAGUGUCAGAAACCCCAGGGAGGAAGCAGCUGUACUGGCAUGGAGGAAAUGACAAAGAUUAUUAGAUUGAAGACUUUCUCAGAAAAUGACAUUAAGUCAUUAAGGAAAAGAAACAAUAUAAAUGUGUACUUGAGAAAUUUUAAUUACUUGAGAGAUUUUUCAUACAAUAUUUAUUCUGCAAGCAAAUUUCAGGGAUUGAAUUAAUAAAACUGAUACAGAACUUCC
RNA transcript from Homo sapiens (human), 657 nucleotides. It is a transcript of the gene named immunoglobulin heavy variable 1/OR15-3 (pseudogene), with no coding region annotated. The transcript has 2 exons. The record is from RefSeq and is marked validated. Lineage: Eukaryota; Metazoa; Chordata; Mammalia; Primates; Hominidae.